Molecule: ribosomal RNA, 271 nt
Filed under: uncultured bacterium
Lineage: Bacteria
Description: partial 16S ribosomal RNA
Rfam family: Bacterial small subunit ribosomal RNA
Source: RNAcentral
UACGGGGGGUGCAAGCGUUGUUCGGAAUUAUUGGGCGUAAAGAGCGUGUAGGCGGCCUGAUGUGUCAGAUGUGAAAGCCCUGGGCUUAACCCAGGAAGUGCAUUUGAAACUGUCAGGCUUGAGUAGGGGAGAGGGAAGUGGAAUUCCUGGUGUAGAGGUGAAAUUCGUAGAUAUCAGGAGGAACACCGGUGGCGAAGGCGACUUCCUGGCCCUAUACUGACGCUGAGACGCGAGAGCGUGGGUAGCAAACAGGAUUAGAAACCCUGGUAGU